CUCUGUGACCCUCCCUAACGUCACCUCUGUGACCUCCCUAACGUCACCUCUGUGACUAUGUCUGCGUCCCAAAUGGAACAUUUUCCUCUAUAAAGGCCACAACUUUUGACCAGAGCCUUAUGGGUAAAUGCCAUUUGGGACGAUUCUCUUGUAUGUGUGCUUGUGACUGAUGGAUUGACUAGCAGAGACUGAGUCUGAGUACCACUGUCAGAUAAGUAUGUGUCAGAUAGUUACUGUGUUGAAUAGUGUAAUGUUCUGGUUACAUGUGUAACAUACAGGGUAUGUAGUGUCAGGUACUUGAUCAGAUGCUUAGCUAAGAAAGUGUGUGGGAUGCUACUGCCUCCACGUUGUUGUUGUUGUUGUUGAUGUUGUUGUUUUUAACCAAGUCGAACUGUUGCCAUGAUAUGCUAUUACUUGGUUACGCACCGGAAUCUGGCGUUUCUAUUGAAUUAUGCUCUUUUUCUAGAAAGGACCAUGACUGUUACCCUAGCAACCCAUCGAUGCUAUUUAGAGGGCGUUACAUGUAAUGAAAGAUUGAACGGUGUUGAGAAUAUGUUCAAAUUGAAGCAAUACAUCCUAGUAUUGUUGUUCUAUCAGCCAUAUUACCCUGCACUGUGACACCAGCUAGCCGAGGCAGCUCUGGAGGCUGUCCCCUGACCCCUGUCUCCUCCACUCUCCUGGAGGCUGACCCCUGACCCCUGUCUCCACUCUUCUGGAGGCUUACCCCUGUCUCCUGCACUCUCUUGGAGGCUGACCCCUGUCUCCUCCACUCUCCUGGAGGCUUACCCCUGUCUCCUCCACUCUCCUGGAGGCUGACCCCUGUCUCCUCCACUCUCCUGGAGGCUGACCCCUGUCUCCUCCACUCUCCUGGAGGCUGACCCCUGUCUCCUCCACUCUCCUGGAGGCUGACCCCUGAACCCUGUCUCCUCCACUCUUCUGAAGGCUUACCCCUGUCUCCUGCACUCUCCUGGAGGCUGACCCCUGACCUCUCCACUCUCCUGGAGGCUGACCCCUGUUUCCUCCAAUCUCCUUUAGGCUGACCCCUGUCUCCUCCACUCUCCUGGAGGCUGACCCCUGACCCCUCCACUCUCCUGGAUGGCUAACUCCUGACCCCCGUCUCCUCCACUCUCCUGGAGGCUGACUCCUGACCCCUGUCUCCUCCACUCUCCUGGAGGCUGACUCCUGACCCCUGUCUCCUCCACUCUCCUGGAGGCUGACUCCUGACCCCUGUCUCCUCCACUCUCCUGGAGGCUGAGCCCUGUCUCCUCCAAUCUCCUGGAGGCUGACCCCUGUCUCCUCCACUCUCCUGGAGGCUGACCCCUCUCUCCUCCACUCUCCUGGAGGCUGACCCCUGACCCCUCCACUCUCCAGGACCAAGUAAAGCUUUAAGAGACAUCUCCUUUAGUGUAGUUCUAGUGUUGCUGCAGCCAGGCUUCCAGAAUUAGCGGCACAUUCCAAAUGACCUGAACAUUCCAGAUAUGAGCCUGGCGUUGUCCUCUGUCUGCCUCAAUAUCCCAGGUGGGGUUGUCAUACUGUAGGCGACAUAUAGAGAGAGAUAUGAGGUGAGAGAGUUGAUUGAUUCCAUGCUUUUGUAGUCUGAUUGUCAGUCUGUGUUUGACAGUUAAAGAACGAUUGGCUGAGUUUCUAUCCCUUUAUAAUGAAAAGGUCUUACUACCAUCUCUAACGAGGCUCAGCAGUUUUAGCCGAAUGCUUUCCAAAACAUCACAACGUGCCUGAACUUCUCUGUCUUUUUUUUUAUUACUAAAUGGAAUGUCAAUUGUUUCAAAUACCUUUUAAUCAUCAUGAACUUUUCCAUUGAGCUAACAAGCCUUUAUAAGUCAUUGUUUCCCCCAGUCUCAGUGAGUGUAGCGCUGAUGGACACUGUGUCUGCUGUUGGUGUGUUUUCAUGCCAUUUAGCAGAGGCUUUUAUUCAAACCACGAAGUGAUGUAUGCAUUCUUUAUGUGUGGAUGGUCACGGGAGUCAAACCCACUAUCCUGUUGUUGCAAGUGUCAUGCUCUACCAACUGACCUACAGAGGACCAGUGUAUUGUUAGGGAGUUUAGUCUGUAAGGGCAAAACCAGCUGGCUGACUGACCAGGGAGGAAUAAGAUGACCUUCUGUCUAACCUCUGACCUCUCCAACCCAGCUCUCCCACAGACAGGCUGACGUGUGUGUGUGUGUGUGUGUGUGUGUGUGUGUGUGUGUGUGUGUGUGUGUGUGUGUGUGUGUGUGUGUGUGUGUGUGUGUGUGUGUGUGUGUGUGUGUGUGUUCUCCAUCAACACAUCUUCCAACAGCCCUAACCAGUAGGAAAGCUCAAUAUUCACUUUAGUUUUGACCACAACUCUGUCACGCUUGCUCAAGUCACCCCUUAGUUAGCACUGAUCUAGGAUCAGCUUACACUCCCCAUAUCCAAACCUAAACCAUUAGUGGAGGGGGACUCUAAACAGACCGUAGCUCAGUGUCUGGGAGAAACUCCACUUUUCCCUGAACAUGUUGAUACUUUAGCAGGACUAGUAGUAACUAUGACUACAUCCUUUAGUAGCAGUGAGCCAAGCAGCUCUACAGCCAGGUGAGUUAGAGAGACAUCAUGUAGCUGUCUAUGCACUUUGACCUCUGGGAUAUCCAGAGGGUAGAAUAGCCAUAUUGAGGUCUCAGUGAUGCCCGGUUCAAUACACCAGCGAGACUCUGUGUGACUGACUGUUUCUCUGUAGAGAGACUGACUGCAUGGCAGUGACUGUUUCUCUGUAGAGACUGACUGCAUGGCAGCGACUGUUUCUCUGUAGAGAGACUGACUGCAUGGCAGUGACUGUUUCUCUGUAGAGACUGACUGCAUGGCAGUGACUGUUUCUCUGUAGAGACUGACUGCAUGGCAGUGACUGUUUCUCUGUAGAGACUGACUGCAUGGCAGUGACUGUUUCUCUGUAGAGACUGACUGCAUGGCAGUGACUGUUUCUCUGUAGAGACUGACUGCAUGGCAGUGACUGUUUCUCUGUAGAGACUGACUGCAUGGCAGUGACUGUUUCUCUGUAGAGAGUGACUGCAUGGCAGUGACUGUUUCUCUGUAGAGACUGACUGCAUGGCAGUGACUGUUUCCCUGUAGAGACUGACUGCAUGGCAGUGACUGUGCCUAAUGGUGGGGCUCCACAGGGUGCUCCUUAAAAAGCUUUAAACAUGUACCUUUCAGAUGUCUGUUACUACAACAUUGUUCAGCUCCAGUUUGGCUCACUGUGAAAGGUAGCUAACUAAAUGAAUAAGGUCAACUUGAAACAUGCAUUCGCUUUUUCUCCAGUGUGUUGCACAAAGGUUUUGUAGAAAGGCUCGGACAGUGGGUUUGAGAGGUGUGAUAAUAACUGAUCUUAUGAAAGGUUGAACAUGUAUUAAGGCCUUCCUGUAUUACAAAAAAGUGAAACACCUACAAAGCGCCUUAUUUCAUCAACUUUGUAUUUUCUUUUGAAUCUCUAAACGUUGUGGCUUAUUACUUUCACCAACUACUUGAGUAUUUAACUGUUCUGAAAUAAAACAUGUUGCAUCAUGGGGAAUAUAUGGCAUUGACCUCAACAUAUUCAACUGGAAUUGUUGUUUGAUGUUUUGUUGGAAUGACAGCUAAUAGUCUGGUGUUUCUAACAGUGGACAGACACAGGUCAAGCAUAAGGAAGACAGGUUAGUCUGACUGUACAGGCAGACAUAAGAGACAGGUUAGUCUGACUGUACAGGCAGACAUAAGAGACAGGUUAGUCUAACUGUACAGGCAGACAUAAGAGACAGGUUAGUCUAACUGUACAGGCAGACAUAAGAGACAGGUUAGUCUAACUGUACAGGCAGACAUAAGAGACAGGUUAGUCUAACUGUACAGGCAGACAUAAGAGACAGGUUAGUCUAACUGUACAGGCAGACAUAAGAGACAGGUUAGUCUGACUGUACAGGCAGACAUAAGAGACAGGUUAGUCUGACUGUACAGGCAGACAUAAGAGACAGGUUAGUCUAACUGUACAGGCAGACAUAAGAGACAGGUUAGUCUAACUGUACAGGCAGACAUAAGAGACAUGUUAGUCUAACUGUACAGGCAGACAUAAGAGACAGGUUAGUCUAACUGUACAGGCAGACAUAAGAGACAGGUUAGUCUAACUGUACAGGCAGACAUAAGAGACAUGUUAGUCUAACUGUACAGGCAGACAUAAGAGACAGGUUUGUGAGUUCAGGAUGAGUGUCUGUGGGUUUCUGGGAGAGAGGUGGAGGACAAUGCCUGCACAUUAAUACAAGUAUAAAUGUAUCAUUUUAAAUAUAAAACUAUAAAUAUUGUAUAGAAUGUCAUUCAUUUUUAUAAUCUUGACUGUACAUGUAAUGCAACCACCUUUCUUUUUGAAAGGAGUCUUUGAUGUUUUGUACAUGUAUGUAAAUGAUGUUUGCUUAGCAGUUGUUUGCAGCCUUCUCAAUGUAUGUUCGUCAAGGUUCAUUUCCGCGCUUCGAUACGUGUCCACGGUUUAUUAUACGUCAUGGAUUGAUGAAUUCAUAAUUGCCUGCAUAACUUUGUACAUGUUUGUGUCUCUCAUCACAGCAUAUUGUAUGGUCUGCGUUUUGUUUAGCAGUUGUACAGAUGUUACAUAUCACUGCGGCUACAUUACAGUAGGAGAAUAAAGCACUUGUUCUGUA
RNAcentral lists this long non-coding RNA (4650 nucleotides) under Salmo salar (Atlantic salmon). RNAcentral's name for it is "lncRNA (ENSSSAG00000106208.1)". Lineage: Eukaryota; Metazoa; Chordata; Actinopteri; Salmoniformes; Salmonidae. The record is from RNAcentral.